This 36-nucleotide transfer RNA is filed under the name Galdieria sulphuraria. Its description in RNAcentral is "tRNA-Tyr". The record is from RNAcentral. Lineage: Eukaryota; Rhodophyta; Bangiophyceae; Galdieriales; Galdieriaceae.
UCCUGACGGCCGGAAUCGAACCAGCGACCACUCGAU